RNAcentral lists this ribosomal RNA (254 nucleotides) under uncultured bacterium. Its description in RNAcentral is "partial 16S ribosomal RNA". It matches the Rfam family "Bacterial small subunit ribosomal RNA", at positions 524 to 776 of the family's 1533-position model. The record is from RNAcentral.
UACGUAGGGUGCAAGCGUUAUCCGGAAUUAUUGGGCGUAAAGAGCUCGUAGGCGGUUUGUCGCGUCUGCUGUGAAAACCCGAGGCUCAACCUCGGGCCUGCAGUGGGUACGGGCAGACUAGAGUGCGGUAGGGGAGAUUGGAAUUCCUGGUGUAGCGGUGGAAAUGCGCAGAUAUCAGGAGGAACACCAAUGGCGAAGGCAGAUCUCUGGGCCGUAACUGACGCUGAGGAGCGAAAGCAUGGGGAGCGAACAGG